This 368-nucleotide ribosomal RNA is filed under the name uncultured bacterium. RNAcentral's name for it is "bacterial SSU rRNA". It matches the Rfam family "Bacterial small subunit ribosomal RNA", at positions 29 to 388 of the family's 1533-position model. The record is from RNAcentral.
AACGAACGCUGGCGGCGCGCCUAAUACAUGCAAGUCGAGCGAGAAGACGUAGCAAUACGUUUGUAAAGCGGCGAACGGGUGAGGAAUACAUGGGUAACCUACCCUCGAGUGGGGAAUAACUAGCCGAAAGGUUAGCUAAUACCGCGUACGCUCCUUGGACUUCGGUUCAGGGAGGAAAGCGAUACCGUGGGUAUCGCGCUCUUGGAUGGGCUCAUGUCCUAUCAGCUUGUUGGUGAGGAACGGCUCACCAAGGCUUCGACGGGUAGCUGGUCUGAGAGGACGAUCAGCCACACUGGCACUGCGACACGGGCCAGACUCCUACGGGAGGCAGCAGUAAGGAAUAUUGCGCAAUGGGCGAAAGCCUGACG